AGCCAUCUGGACCUUUCACGAUUUGGCCCAUUAGUCCCCCCUCAAUGCCUCCACAUACUUUGGCCUCCCUACACAGGACAGGAGAUAGCGGCUCAGAUGACGCCAAAGCUCUUCCUGGCCUUCCUGCUGGGCUGUCACCAACAGAGAGUGUAAAGGCAGCUGUGGGGAAGCAGAGCUCAUGUUCACCAGAUGCACUGAGAAACAGAUGAGAGAGAGUGGAGAAGAUGGAAAGAAGGACCUUGAAUGAAAGAAGAAGAUAUGGAGAGAUAGAAGGAAGAAGUGGAGUGAAGGGGGGAGGAGUGUGGACAGAGAUGUGUGCG
Molecule: long non-coding RNA, 320 nt
Organism: Notolabrus celidotus (New Zealand spotty)
Lineage: Eukaryota; Metazoa; Chordata; Actinopteri; Labriformes; Labridae
Exons: 3
Source: RefSeq, a predicted model, not a curated record